Molecule: small nuclear RNA, 117 nt
Organism: Otolemur garnettii (small-eared galago)
Lineage: Eukaryota; Metazoa; Chordata; Mammalia; Primates; Galagidae
Gene: U2
Rfam family: U2 spliceosomal RNA
About the family: U2 is a small nuclear RNA (snRNA) component of the spliceosome (involved in pre-mRNA splicing). Complementary binding between U2 snRNA (in an area lying towards the 5' end but 3' to hairpin I) and the branchpoint sequence (BPS) of the intron results the bulging out of an unpaired adenosine, on the BPS, which initiates a nucleophilic attack at the intronic 5' splice site, thus starting the first of two transesterification reactions that mediate splicing.
Source: Ensembl
UCUGCUUAUUGGCCUUUUGGCUAAGAUCAAGUAAGUGUAGUAUCUGUUCUUAUCAUUUUAAUAUAUGAAAUAAAUUUUAAAAAAUCAUUCCUCAGGAGCAGAUUGGGGUUAUCCUAG